This 832-nucleotide long non-coding RNA is filed under the name Homo sapiens (human). RNAcentral describes it as "long non-coding RNA NONHSAT108992.2". The record is from RNAcentral. Lineage: Eukaryota; Metazoa; Chordata; Mammalia; Primates; Hominidae.
AAUGGAAGUUGCUCUGGGUGAGUUAGUGAGUGAGUGGUGAGUGAAUGUGAAGGCCUAGGGCCUUACUGUACACUGCUGUAGACUUUAGAAACAUGGUACAGUUAGGCUACAUCAAAUUUAUAAAAAAUAGUUCUUUUAUAAUAAAUUAACCUUAGUUUACUAUAACUAUUUUACUUUAUAAACUUAACAUUUUUUUUCCCACUUGCCAAGGCUGAUGUAACAUUUUAAUCUUUUUUUAACUUUUUUUUUUCGACCAGUUGUCAAAUGAUCCUUUAUUGAAAUAUUUUCCUUUGUGCUUAACUAGCUGGGCAUUCCACAGCACCACUGUUGAUGUCAUCUAUGAUGUCAUGAGGGUGGUGGCCAUCAACAUUACAGCCCAUAGACUGGGCAGUCCCCGGAAUCUCUUUAAUGGUUCCAGAGAGUUCUCUGGCUAAGGAUCGGUGCCGCAUCUGUCGAGCAAUGUUGACGAUCUCAUCAAAAGUGAUAUUCCCAUUGUGUUUAAUGUUUUUCUGUUUCUUUCUGUCUCUUGGUGGUUUCUUGAGGGCUUUGAUGAUCGGGGCAGAGGCAGAAGGCACCACCUCAAUCUGGGCCUGUCUGUUCUCAAUGGUCAGUUUCACUGUAAUCCUCAGGCCCUUCCAGUCACCCGUUGCCUUGGCAAUGUCAUCACCAACCUUUUUUGGAGACAGACCCAGGGGGCCGAUCUUGGGGGCCAGGGCAGAAGUGGCACCGACUUCACCUCUGGUGCACCUCAGGUAUACGACCUUGAUCUCGUUGGGGUCGAACUUCGGUGGCAUGGUGGAGGCAGCUGGUGUCGGAUGAACCCAGAUUCAGG